AUACGGAGGGUGCAAGCGUUACUCGGAAUCACUGGGCGUAAAGGAUGCGUAGGCGGAUAAUCAAGUCAAAAGUGAAAUCCCACGGCUUAACCGUGGAACUGCUUUCGAAACUGGUUAUCUAGAAUAUGGAAGAGGCAGAUGGAAUUAGUGGUGUAGGGGUAAAAUCCGUAGAGAUCACUAGGAAUACCGAUUGCGAAGGCGAUCUGCUGGGACAUUAUUGACGCUGAGGCAUGAAAGCGUGGGGAGCAAACAGGAUUAGAUACCCCUGUAGUCC
RNAcentral lists this ribosomal RNA (274 nucleotides) under uncultured bacterium. RNAcentral describes it as "partial 16S ribosomal RNA". It matches the Rfam family "Bacterial small subunit ribosomal RNA", at positions 523 to 796 of the family's 1533-position model. The record is from RNAcentral.